GGCACGGUGGCACAAUGGUUAGUGGUUACUGCCUCACAGCAAGGAGGUCGUGGGUUCGAAUCCGGCCUGGGGCC
Non-coding RNA from Gymnothorax javanicus (giant moray), 74 nucleotides. The record is from the annotation of a GenBank genome assembly. Lineage: Eukaryota; Metazoa; Chordata; Actinopteri; Anguilliformes; Muraenidae.